UCCGUAGGUGAACCUGCGGAAGGAUCAUUACAGAAAGUAAACGCGGAUCAAACCGCGAACUUCUAAACCUUUGACGAUCGACUCAUGUUGCCUCGGCGGGUUAUCCCGCCAGAGGAUACAUCAAAACUCCUGUUUUAACGGUGUUGUCUGAGCUACAAGCAAUGAAUCAAAACUUUCAACAACGGAUCUCUUGGUUCUGGCAUCGAUGAAGAACGCAGCGAAAUGCGAUAAGUAGUGUGAAUUGCAGAAUUCAGUGAAUCAUCGAAUCUUUGAACGCACAUUGCGCCCCUUGGUAUCCCGAGGGGCGUGCCUGUUCGAGCGUCAUUUCACCACUCAAGCCUGGCUUGGUGUUGGGCGACGUCCCCUUUAGGGACACGCCUCGAAACGCUCGGCGGCGUGGCACCGGCUUUAAGCGUAGCAGAAUCUUUCGCUUUGGAAGUCGGGGCCCCGUCUGCCGGAAGACCUACUCGUAAGGUUGACCUCGGAUCAGGCAGGGAUACCCGCUGAACUUAAGCAUAUCAAUAAGCGGAGGA
RNAcentral lists this ribosomal RNA (533 nucleotides) under Cenococcum geophilum. RNAcentral's name for it is "eukaryotic LSU rRNA". The stretch from base 171 to 324 matches the Rfam family "5.8S ribosomal RNA". The record is from RNAcentral. Lineage: Eukaryota; Fungi; Ascomycota; Dothideomycetes; Gloniales; Gloniaceae.